UACGAAGGGGGCUAGCGUUGCUCGGAAUCACUGGGCGUAAAGCGCACGUAGGCGGCUUGUUAAGUCAGGGGUGAAAUCCUGGAGCUCAACUCCAGAACUGCCUUUGAUACUGGCGAGCUUGAGUGCGGGAGAGGAGAGUGGAAUUCCCGGUGUAGCGGUGAAAUGCGCAGAUAUCGGGAAGAACACCCGUGGCGAAGGCGGCUCUCUGGAACGCAACUGACGCUGAGACGCGAAAGCGUGGGGAGCAAACAGG
This 253-nucleotide ribosomal RNA is filed under the name uncultured bacterium. Its description in RNAcentral is "partial 16S ribosomal RNA". It matches the Rfam family "Bacterial small subunit ribosomal RNA", at positions 524 to 776 of the family's 1533-position model. The record is from RNAcentral.